This 633-nucleotide ribosomal RNA is filed under the name Nebria danmanni. RNAcentral's name for it is "partial large subunit ribosomal RNA". It matches the Rfam family "Bacterial large subunit ribosomal RNA", at positions 1819 to 2736 of the family's 2925-position model. The record is from RNAcentral. Lineage: Eukaryota; Metazoa; Arthropoda; Insecta; Coleoptera; Carabidae.
GUCCUUUAGAUAUUAAUUUAAGGUCUGACCUGCCCACUGAAAUAUUUUAAAUGGCCGCAGUAAUUUGACUGUGCAAAGGUAGCAUAAUCAUUAGUUUUUUAAUUAAAAGCUUGUAUGAAAGGUUGGACGAAGUAAAAUCUGUCUCUAAUUAAAUUAAUUUAGAAUUUAACUUUUAAGUUAAAAGGCUUAAAUUUAACUAAAAGACGAGAAGACCCUAUAGAUCUUUAUAUAUUAAUUAUUAAAUUUAAUUAAGAAUUUUUAAAAUUUUAUUAAUUUAUAUAUUUUAUUGGGGUAAUAUAAAGAUUAACAUAAUUCUUUUUUUUUAUUAACAUUAAUUUAUGAUUUUUAUGAUCCAAUUAUAUUGAUUUUAAGAUUAAGUUACCUUAGGGAUAACAGCGUAAUUUUUUUAGAGAGUUCUUAUCGAUAAAAAAGUUUGCGACCUCGAUGUUGGAUUAAAGAUUAUUUUAGGUGCAGAAGUUUAAAAAUUUUGGUCUGUUCGACCAUUAAAUCUUUACAUGAUCUGAGUUCAGACCGGUGUAAGCCAGGUCGGUUUCUAUCUUUAGUAAAUUAAAAUAUUUUAGUACGAAAGGACCAAUUAUUUAAUAUAAAUAUUUUUAUUUUGAUUAUUAUUAA